AACGAACGCUGGCGGCAGGCCUAACACAUGCAAGUCGAGCGAGGACUUCGGUUCUAGCGGCGGACGGGUGAGUAACGCGUGGGAAUGUGCCCUUCUCUACGGAAUAGCCCUGGGAAACUGGGAGUAAUACCGUAUACGCCCUUUUGGGGAAAGAUUUAUCGGAGAAGGAUCAGCCCGCGUUGGAUUAGGUAGUUGGUGGGGUAACGGCCUACCAAGCCGACGAUCCAUAGCUGGUUUGAGAGGAUGAUCAGCCACACUGGGACUGAGACACGGCCCAGACUCCUACGGGAGGCAGCAGUGGGGAAUCUUAGACAAUGGGGGCAACCCUGAUCGAGCCAUGCCGCGUGAGUGAUGAAGGCCUUAGGGUUGUAAAGCUCUUUCAGCUGGGAAGAUAAUGACGGUACCAGCAGAAGAAGCCCCGGCUAACUCCGUG
This 433-nucleotide ribosomal RNA is filed under the name uncultured bacterium. RNAcentral's name for it is "partial 16S ribosomal RNA". It matches the Rfam family "Bacterial small subunit ribosomal RNA", at positions 29 to 507 of the family's 1533-position model. The record is from RNAcentral.